RNA transcript from Dermochelys coriacea (leatherback sea turtle), 1087 nucleotides. It is a transcript of the gene named zinc finger protein 26-like, with no coding region annotated. The record is from RefSeq and is a predicted model, not a curated record. The transcript is spliced from 5 exons. Lineage: Eukaryota; Metazoa; Chordata; Testudines; Dermochelyidae.
CCUGGCCUACGCACAUUAACACAACGGCCCUGAUCCCCACCGCAGGGACUGCGGGCUCCGCGGGCUGAAACGGGAAAUCCCCCGGCCCGGCGGCUGGAGCUGGCGGCGCAGGCGCGGGGCCGGGCGGGAGGCGGCAGCCGCGGGGCGGGAAGUCGCUGCCCGGGCGGAGGAAGCGGCCGGGGCCGAGCCCGGCGAUGGCGGCCGCGGGGCCGGCGCGGCUCCGGGUGGCGUUUGAGGACGUGGCUCUGUAUUUCACCCGGGAGGAGUGGGAGCUCUUAUCCCGGCCAGAGAAGCAGCUGUACCGGGACCAGAUGCUGAGGAAUUACCGGGCCCUUGUUUCCCUGGGCUAUUUAGGUUCCACACCAGAUUUAAUCCACAGAAUUGAGGUAGGGGAGGCAGAGCUCUGGAUCCGGGAUGCCGAGGACUCCAGGGAAAGCUCAGGGCCUGAGAGCCCCUCCCAAGGAGGUAGGAAUCGCGGGGGGGAGAUUCUUUGGCUGGGAUAGGCAGGAAGCCAGGCUGGAUGGGCACAAUGAGCCUGUCUGGGCUUGAUAUCUAUGAAUUCUGGAAAUCCUAGAAACACAGAAUUAGAAAGCACCUCAGUAAGUCAUCUAGUCCAGUCAGUCCCCUGCACUGAAGCAGGACUAAAUAUUAUCGAGUCCAUGCCUGACAUGGUCUUAAAAACUUCCCAUGAUGGAGAUUUCACAACCUCUCCAGGCACAGAUCCUACCCCAUUGACACUGAUGUUGACUAUGUUAGUCAGCCGAUCACUGCUAACUUUUUUGGUGAAAACUGAAACAAAAGAGGCAUUUAACUAUUUGGCCAUUGCUGCGUUUGCUCUUAUUGUCUUUCCCUCCAUUUAGUAAUAGGCCUAGCCUGUCCUUGUUUUCCUCUUGUUUCCCAUGUAUUUGUAAAAUGCUUUGUUUUUUCCCUUUAUAUUACUGCCUAGUUUAAUUCGCUUUUUUGCCUUGGCCUUUCUAAUUUUGUUCCUACAUGCUUGUGGGUUUGGUUUGGGUUUUUUUUGUUUGUUUUUUUUUAAUAUUCAUCCUUUGUAAUUUAACCUACUUUCCACUUCUUGUAUGACUCUUUU